AUGGUUGCAUGUGAUUUUGAUCUGAAUUUCACAUUUAUUUCAUGUGGGUGGGAAGGAUCCGCAUCAGAUGCAGGAGUUCUUCGUUCUGCUAUUAGCAAGGGGUUUCAUGUGCCGGAAGGAAAAUUUUAUCUCGUAGAUGGUGGAUAUGCAAACACGCCUUCUUUUCUUGCACCAUAUCGAGGAGUUCGGUAUCACCUGAGUGAAUUUAGGAGGCGACGCUCAUCUAAUACGGGCUAUGCCGACCAUAGGGAGCUGUUCAACCAUACCCAUGCAAUUCUCCGGAACCACAUCGAAAGGAGCAUUGGUGUUCUAAAAAAACGGUUCCCUAUCUUGAAAGUGGGCAAUCACUACCCUAUAGAGUCACAAAUCAAGAUUCCGGCGGCAUGUGCUGUAUUCCAUGACAUCAUUAGAGCUCAAAGUGGUGAUGAGGCAUGGUUGGAUCACCAACCACCAUUAAUUCCACCAGAAACAUAUGUUGAUGUUCCAGAGGGAGAUGAUGUCAACCAACAUCAUCACAAUGAGGCAAAUAAUGGAUACACUCUUAGAGAUCAGAUCGCGAUGCAAAUGUGGGCUGAUUAUAACAACUAG
This 588-nucleotide ribosomal RNA is filed under the name Triticum aestivum (bread wheat). RNAcentral's name for it is "partial small subunit ribosomal RNA". Lineage: Eukaryota; Viridiplantae; Streptophyta; Magnoliopsida; Poales; Poaceae. The record is from RNAcentral.